RNAcentral lists this ribosomal RNA (441 nucleotides) under uncultured bacterium. Its description in RNAcentral is "partial 16S ribosomal RNA". It matches the Rfam family "Bacterial small subunit ribosomal RNA", at positions 338 to 795 of the family's 1533-position model. The record is from RNAcentral.
CCUACGUGAGGCAGCAGUGGGGAAUAUUGCACAAUGGGGGGAACCCUGAUGCAGCGACGCCGCGUGAGUGCAGAAGUAUUUCGGUAUGUAACGCUCUGUCCGCAGGGAAGCAGAAAGACGGUACCUGACCAAGACGCCCCGGCUAACUACGUGCCAGCAGCCGCGGUAAUACGGAGGGGGCAAGCGUUAUCAGGAUUUACUGGGUGUACAGGGAGCGUAGACGGCAGGGCAAGUCUGGAGUGAAAGGCAGGGGCCCAACCCCUGGACUGCUCUGGAAACUGUCCGGCUGGAGUGCUGGAGAGGUAAGUGGAAUGCCUAGGGUAGCGGUGAAAUGCGUAGAGAGUAGGAGGAACACCAGUGGCGAAGGCGGCUGACUGGACUGUAACUGACGUUGAGGCUCGAAAGCGUGGGGAGCAAACAGGAUUAGAUACCCGAGUAGUC